Molecule: ribosomal RNA, 484 nt
Filed under: uncultured bacterium
Lineage: Bacteria
Description: partial 16S ribosomal RNA
Rfam family: Bacterial small subunit ribosomal RNA
Source: RNAcentral
ACUCAAAUGAAUUGACGGGAACCCGCACAAGCGGUGGAGCAUGUGGUUCAAUUCGACGAUAAGCGAGGAACCUUACCAAGGCUUGACAUGUCUGGAAUCCAGCCGAAAGGUUGGAGUGCCGCAAGGAACCAGAACACAGGUGCUGCAUGGCUGUCGUCAGCUCGUGUCGUGAGACGUCGGGUUAAGUCCUUUAACGAGCGCAACCCCUGUCUCGUGUUACAUUGUUCACGAGAGACUGCCUGGGUAACCAGGAGGAAGGUGGGGACGACGUCAAGUCAGCAUGGCCCUUACGCCUUGGGCUACACACGUGCUACAAUGGAGCCAACAACGGGACGCCAAGUCGCGAGACGGAGCAAAUCCCUUAAAUGGCCCCUCAGUUCGGAUUGCAGGCUGCAACUCGCCUGCAUGAAGCUGGAAUCGCUAGUAACCGUGGAUCAGCCUCGCCACGGUGAAUACGUUCUCGGGUUUUGCACACACCGCCCGU